GACGUAGGGCGCGAGCGUUGUCCGGAUUUACUGGGCGUAAAGAGCGCGCAGGCGGUCGUUCAAGUCGAGUGUGAAAGCCCCCGGCUCAACUGGGGAGGGUCAUUCGAUACUGAUCGACUCGAAGGCAGGAGAGGGUAGUGGAAUUCCCGGUGUAGUGGUGAAAUGCGUAGAUAUCGGGAGGAACACCAGUGGCGAAGGCGACUACCUGGCCUGUUCUUGACGCUGAGGCGCGAAAGCUAGGGGAGCAAACGGG
RNAcentral lists this ribosomal RNA (253 nucleotides) under uncultured bacterium. RNAcentral describes it as "partial 16S ribosomal RNA". It matches the Rfam family "Bacterial small subunit ribosomal RNA", at positions 524 to 776 of the family's 1533-position model. The record is from RNAcentral.